AUGGCCAUACCACCCUGAACGCGCCCGAUCUCAUCAAGCUAAGCAGGGUCGGGCCUGGUUAGUACUUGGAUGGGAGACAAAAGAAAGGAAUUCAGUAUGUCAAAAAUA
RNAcentral lists this ribosomal RNA (108 nucleotides) under Prolemur simus (greater bamboo lemur). Lineage: Eukaryota; Metazoa; Chordata; Mammalia; Primates; Lemuridae. The record is from RNAcentral.